RNAcentral lists this transfer RNA (73 nucleotides) under Leuconostoc lactis. Its description in RNAcentral is "tRNA-Asn". It matches the Rfam family "tRNA". Rfam says of the family: Transfer RNA (tRNA) molecules are approximately 80 nucleotides in length. Their secondary structure includes four short double-helical elements and three loops (D, anti-codon, and T loops). RNAcentral also lists the same sequence under 1 other name. The record is from RNAcentral. Lineage: Bacteria; Bacillati; Bacillota; Bacilli; Lactobacillales; Lactobacillaceae.
UCCGACUUAGCUCAGUUGGUAGAGCACCUGACUGUUAAUCAGGUUGUCGCUGGUUCGAGCCCGGCAGUCGGAG